RNAcentral lists this ribosomal RNA (566 nucleotides) under uncultured bacterium. Its description in RNAcentral is "bacterial SSU rRNA". It matches the Rfam family "Bacterial small subunit ribosomal RNA", at positions 337 to 916 of the family's 1533-position model. The record is from RNAcentral.
UCCUACGGGAGGCAGCAGUGGGGAAUCUUGCACAAUGGGCGAAAGCCUGAUGCAGCGAUGCCGCGUGCGGGAAGAAGGCCCUAGGGUUGUAAACCGCUUUCAGGAGGGAAGAAAAUGACGGUACCUCCAGAAGAAGGUGCGGCCAACUACGUGCCAGCAGCCCGCGGUGACACGUAGGCACCAAGCGUUAUCCGGAUUUAUUGGGCGUAAAGAGCUCGUAGGCGGUUUGGUAAGUCGGGUGUGAAAACUCUGGGCUCAACCCAGAGAGGCCACUCGAUACUGCUAUGACUAGAGUACGGUAGGGGAGCGGGGAAUUCCUGGUGUAGCGGUGAAAUGCGCAGAUAUCAGGAGGAACACCAGCGGCGAAGGCGCCGCUCUGGGCCGUAACUGACGCUGAGGAGCGAAAGCAUGGGUAGCAAACAGGAUUAGAUACCCUGGUAGUCCAUGCCGUAAACGUUGGGCACUAGGUGUGGGUCUCAACCAACGAGAUCCGCGCCGUCGCUAACGCAUUAAGUGCCCCGCCUGGGGAGUACGGUCGCAAGACUAAAACUCAAAUGAAUUGACGG